Long non-coding RNA from Pieris brassicae (large cabbage white), 437 nucleotides. RefSeq lists it as uncharacterized. NCBI's taxonomy places the organism in Eukaryota, Metazoa, Arthropoda, Insecta, Lepidoptera, Pieridae. The record is from RefSeq and is a predicted model, not a curated record. The transcript has 3 exons.
UCAGUUCGACGGACGGCGUCUGUAACUCUAUCUUGCGCUGCUCGAGGCGACUCGCCCAUCCAACUUCACUGGACUCACAAUAUGAGACCUUUGGACCUUAUUACUUACAGGGUCUCGGUAUCAGAGAAACGAUCAGAAAGCGGAGCGAGUUCUGAGUUGACGAUAGCGCACGCACAACGAAGGGAUUCGGGCGUUUAUAGGUGUCGCGCGGAAAACGCUUACGGCAGAGAUGAGCUUCUCAUAUACCUGGCGGUGCAAGAGUUUCCGGAAGCGCCACGUGGCUUAUCAGUGAAACAGCGCGAGGGUCGCGCAGCAACUGUGCAGUGGCGGCGCGGUUUUGACGGCAACGCGCGUCUUCGUGCAUUUCGUUUACAGUAUCGAGUAGUUGGUCACACGCAGCUGCCGCCUGAUUGGAGCCUUGCUCCUACACGAGAACU